GAUGAACGCUGGCGGCGUGCCUAAUACAUGCCAGUCGAGCGAACAGACGAGGAGCUUGCUCCUCUGACGUUAGCGGCGGACGGGUGAGUAACACGUGGAUAACCUACCUAUAAGACUGGGAUAACUUCGGGAAACCGGAGCUAAUACCGGAUAAUAUAUUGAACCGCAUGGUUCAAUAGUGAAAGACGGUUUUGCUGUCACUUAUAGAUGGAUCCGCGCCGCAUUAGCUAGUUGGUAAGGUAACGGCUUACCAAGGCAACGAUGCGUAGCCGACCUGAGAGGGUGAUCGGCCACACUGGAACUGAGACACGGUCCAGACUCCUACGGGAGGCAGCAGUAGGGAAUCUUCCGCAAUGGGCGAAAGCCUGACGGAGCAACGCCGCAUGAGUGAUGAAGGUCUUCGGAUCGUAAAACUCUGUUAUUAGGGAAGAACAAAUGUGUAAGUAACUAUGCACGUCUUGACGGUACCUAAUCAGAAAGCCACGGCUAACUACGUG
RNAcentral lists this ribosomal RNA (497 nucleotides) under uncultured bacterium. RNAcentral describes it as "partial 16S ribosomal RNA". It matches the Rfam family "Bacterial small subunit ribosomal RNA", at positions 28 to 507 of the family's 1533-position model. The record is from RNAcentral.